Molecule: unclassified non-coding RNA, 155 nt
Filed under: uncultured Diaporthe
Lineage: Eukaryota; Fungi; Ascomycota; Sordariomycetes; Diaporthales; Diaporthaceae
Also listed under: 1 other name
Description: partial internal transcribed spacer 2
Source: RNAcentral
CAACCCUCAAGCACUGCUUGGUGUUGGGGCACCGCCUGUAAAAGGGCGGGCCCUGAAAUCUAGUGGCGAGCUCGCCAGGACCCCGAGCGUAGUAAUUAUAUUUCGUUCUGGAAGGCCCUGGCGGUGCCCUGCCGUUAAACCCCCAACUUCUGAAA